RNAcentral lists this long non-coding RNA (1426 nucleotides) under Vulpes vulpes (red fox). RNAcentral describes it as "lncRNA (ENSVVUG00000020874.1)". Lineage: Eukaryota; Metazoa; Chordata; Mammalia; Carnivora; Canidae. The record is from RNAcentral.
AAAUCAGCAGCCAGAAACGUGUUCAGGGUUGAGUGGGCACUGGUGAAUCAUCACAAAUGCUUCAGCUACUGGGCCACUAACAGUCUCCUUACCGAAGAUAUUUCCCUCUGCGUUUGUCUUUAAAAAUAUUAUGGGUGCACAAAAGUAUGCAGUGGCAACAGGACCAACACGGAGCAAACUCCAGUGCAGCUUUUGAAAAUUCUAUUUGGUAUUUAUUUGGUUUUCAUACUUUUCUUUCUAUUUAUCCUUAUGCCCUGGGAAGUAAAAGAACUGGGUUUGGGAAACAUUUUUGGAUUUGCUGAACAGUGGACUCCGUUGUUUCAUGCACACCUUUGUACCAGGGUACAUCUUAUUGUUUAAAAAGAUGUUUUUCAAGAGCAUGAAGAGAUCUGAUCAGAACACGCUGGGGUGUCAAGGAAUGGUUCAUGGAUCCUCGGGUCCUCCACAGUGACCAGUGAUCAAGUACACUUGAUCUCCAACAUUAACCUUCGCCAGCUCUCUUGCAGUGGUCACGAGGAAUGUGGGCUGGUCAGAGCAGCCUCGCUCUGCCCUGGCCUUGGCCCUGUCAAUGACCAUCUCUCCAGAACACCCUUCCUCUCUUUUCUACCUGGCAACCACUUACUUGUAUUUCCUCUCCUUCCCUGACCCCACCGCUGGCAGCAAUGCCCCUCUUCUCUGUCAUCCACCAGCCCCCAAGGGUGUUAAAGCCGCACAGCUCUCUGUGUCAUCUUGGUCCAUCUUGUCUUCAGUGCUGCCCAGAGAACACUCCCCAUCUAAGCCACCACUGAAAUUAACAGAUGAACUGUUUAGGCUCAAAUACAAUUCAAGAGAAGAAAUUUUAAGAAGAAAGCUAAAACAGCCUUUUUCAAGGAACCAUUUAACUGAAGCUGCCAAUUCUUCCAACUCUGGCUCCUGGGAAGAUAUUCUUAACACUAUCCAGGGACAUCUGGCGACAACCUUCCUCUGACUCCUCCUACACAGAUUAGUAUCAAUGCUGAGAGCAGUCUUUCGGCACCGCUCUACACAGUCCUCCAAAGAUAAAGCCCAGCUCAGUUAUUCUUUGCCUACUACCUUAGGAUGGAGAAUAUGUUGGUUCCUCUAAUAAUUGUUUCCCAGUUUUAUUGCAAGAAAGUCUAAAGGGACACAAACACAAUUUCUAUUUCAAAGGAAUGAUCUCCUUCCCCUCUUCUUUGGAGAAAGUAGUUUAGAUAUUGUUAGUUUAAGGGAUCCCUGGGUGGCGCAGCGGUUUGGCGCCUGCCUUUGGCCCGGGGCGCGAUCCUGGAGACCCGGGAUCGGGUCCCACGUCGGGCUCCCGGUGCAUGGAGCCCGCUUCUCCCUCUCCCUCUGCCUGUGUCUCUGCUUCUCUCUCUCUCACUGUGUGCCUAUCAUAAAUAAAUAAAAUUUANNNNNNNNNNNNNNNNNNAGA